This 470-nucleotide long non-coding RNA is filed under the name Mustela putorius furo (domestic ferret). RNAcentral's name for it is "lncRNA (ENSMPUG00000026595.1)". Lineage: Eukaryota; Metazoa; Chordata; Mammalia; Carnivora; Mustelidae. The record is from RNAcentral.
AUUCAAAAACACCUUCCUUCUUUUCUUUCUUUCUCUCUCUCUCUCUUUUUAAAAAAAGAUUUUAUUUUUAAGUAAUCUCCACAUCCAAUGUGGGGCUUGAACUCACAACCCUGAGAUCAAGAGUCACACGCUCCUCCAACUGAGCCAGCCAGGCACCCGCCAAACACCUUCCUUUCAAUUCUGCCAGAAGCCCGUGCUGUGAUCCACUGGGCGUCAGACCUCUUCGCAGCAUUUCCGCACCGGGGCAGGGCUUGCUCGCUCUCAGGAUCAUUUCAUUUGUGCCCCCAUCCAGGCUCUUGCUGCCCUCACUUCUUUUGCACAGACUCUCCACCUGACCUUCUCUACUCUGUGGGGUCCAGACCUUGUUCUGCUGCUUUCAGAGGAACCCUGGACAUCCCUCACCUGCUGCCUUCCGCCCCGGGUCAGCCCCGGGUCAGCCCUCUGGACUUGGUGGGGCAUCAGAAAAGGCC